UAACGCGUGAGCAACCUGCCCUUCGGAGGGGGAUAGUGUCUGGAAACGGACAGUAAUACCGCAUAACGUAUUUUUACCGCAUGAUAGAAAUACCAAAACUGAGGUGCCGAAGGAUGGGCUCGCGUUGGAUUAGAUAGUUGGUGGGGUAACGGCCUACCAAGUCGACGAUCCAUAGCCGGACUGAGAGGUUGAACGGCCACAUUGGGACUGAGACACGGCCCAGACUCCUACGGGAGGCAGCAGUGGGGAAUAUUGCACAAUGGGGGAAACCCUGAUGCAGCAACGCCGCGUGAAGGAAGACGGUUUUCGGAUUGUAAACUUCUGUUCUUAGUGAAGAAUAAUGACGGUAGCUAAGGAGCAAGCCACGGCUAACUACGUGCCAGCAGCCGCGGUAAUACGUAGGUGGCAAGCGUUGUCCGGAAUUACUGGGUGUAAAGGGAGCGCAGGCGGGAAGCCAAGUCAGCUGUGAAAACUACGGGCUUAACUUGUAGACUGCAGUUGAAACUGGUUUUCUUGAGUGAAGUAGAGGUUGGCGGAAUUCCGAGUGUAGCGGUGAAAUGCGUAGAUAUUCGGAGGAACACCGGUGGCGAAGGCGGCCAACUGGGCUUUAACUGACGCUGAGGCUCGAAAGUGUGGGGAGCAAACAGGAUUAGAUACCCUGGUAGUCCACACUGUAAACGAUGAUAACUAGGUGU
This 695-nucleotide ribosomal RNA is filed under the name uncultured bacterium. RNAcentral describes it as "bacterial SSU rRNA". It matches the Rfam family "Bacterial small subunit ribosomal RNA", at positions 111 to 823 of the family's 1533-position model. The record is from RNAcentral.